Molecule: ribosomal RNA, 1245 nt
Filed under: Triticum aestivum (bread wheat)
Lineage: Eukaryota; Viridiplantae; Streptophyta; Magnoliopsida; Poales; Poaceae
Description: partial small subunit ribosomal RNA
Source: RNAcentral
AUGGCCGCGCCGUGCACUUCCACCACAGACGACCGGUUGGCCGUCCUCCUGGAGGAGAUCUUCCUCCGGCUACCCACCCCAGCCGACCUCGUCCACGCCUCCGCCGCCUGCGUCCCCUUCCGCCAGAUCGCCACCGGCAACUCCUUCCUUCGCCGCUUCCGUAAGGAACACUCUCCCUCCUUCAUCGGCUUCAUGGACUGGCACGGCUUCCGCCCCGCGCUCCCUCCUCACACCACCGCGCCCAUAGCCAGUGCAGUCCCCCGCGCUGCUGACUUCACCUUCUCCUUCCUCCCUAGCCCCACCCCCUACACGCUGCUCCCAGACCCCGGCUGCUGGUGCGUCCGCAGCAUUCGCGACGGCCGCGUCCUCCUCGACCGAGGCCACAAGAGAGACUAUGGUUCAGUCCUCUUCCCGGAGCUCGUGGUGUGUGACCCGUUACACCGGCGAUACCACCUGCUUCCACCGAUCCCUGACGACCUAGCCGCGUCGGUGAGGGACGCACUCCAUCUGACUUACCAGCGCAGCUGUGAGGUCAUCCUCGUUCCUCCCGGCAAGGAAGUGGACAAGGAAGAGUACGAAACUUCAUUUCGUGUAAUCCGGAUGGCACAGUGCAAGACCAAGGUGGUGGCAUUUUUCUAUUCUUCAACCACGGGGCAGUGGCAAUCCAUUGCAUCAAAGGCUUGGAGCGAUUUGUUAGUCUGCGGCAUGCCAAUUGUAUCUUUGAAAUACCGUUUGUUCUACCAUAGUCAUUAUGCCUACGGAUGUUUGUACUGGCCGAUGACGAAUGGGAUAGAAUUUGGGCUGAAGAAUCGUCCGAGGGAAGCUAUGCUCAUGCUUGACACCAUGACAAUGGAGUUCUCCGUUGCUGAUUAUCCACCUGGAAGAUGGAGAGGGUUCCAGGUUGGCGUCGUGGAGGCAGGGGAAGGCAGGCUUGGAUUGCUCACUUUCUCAAUUAAUGAUGCAGCAUCACAACUUCGUUAUAUGGUUAGGCAAAACACAGAUGGGAGUAACAAUGAGUGGCAGUUGGAGAAGAUAAUCCCCUUGGGUUCGGGCAAUCAUUCUAUUGUUGCUUCAACCGAGAGGUACUUGCUCCUCCUAAGGUUAGAUUUUGGGACAGACCACUCUGAAGGUCUCUCAUUAGAUGUCAAGACAUUUCAGCUUGAGAGGGUGUGUGAGCUAUCUGACGUUACAAGCAGGUCAAUAUAUACCAGCUUCCCUCCAUCACUGUCAUCCAGGACAGUAUGA